AAUGGAUUUUUAUCUGAGAUCCACCACUUAUGAAGAAUAUAAGUGAUGUAUAUUCUUUUCUACUCUCCAUGUAUGGAACAGAGGGGCUUGCACAGUAGUGAGAAAAAAAUGGCUUAGACCCACAGGAACAAAACAGGACAGGAGUUAGAUGCCAAGACAUUUCAACAAAAGUUUGGAAAAUAUGCUAUUGGUGGCAUAUGAGUCACAGACAGAAUAUUGGCACCUUUGCUUAAGAAAAUGAAUGUUAAUGUCACAUCUGCCUUUGGAGAUUACAAAUGAAAUGGCUACCUUUCUAGUGGAACCCUAACCAGAAGCCUACCA
Molecule: long non-coding RNA, 321 nt
Organism: Mandrillus leucophaeus (drill)
Lineage: Eukaryota; Metazoa; Chordata; Mammalia; Primates; Cercopithecidae
Exons: 3
Source: RefSeq, a predicted model, not a curated record